Molecule: ribosomal RNA, 441 nt
Filed under: uncultured bacterium
Lineage: Bacteria
Description: partial 16S ribosomal RNA
Rfam family: Bacterial small subunit ribosomal RNA
Source: RNAcentral
CCUACGGGCGGCAGCAGUAGGGAAUUUUGCGCAAUGGGGGAAACCCUGACGCAGCAACGCCGCGUGAUCGAUGACGCCCUUCGGGGUGUUAAGCUCUGUCAGUGGGGACGAAACCUGACGGUACCCACAGAGGAAGCACCGGCUAACUCCGUGCCAGCAGCCGCGGUAAUACGGGGGGUGCAAGCGUUGUCCGGAAUCAUUGGGGGUAAAGGGUUCGUAGGUGGCACGUUAAGUCUGGUGUGAAAGGCGGAAGCUCAACUUCCGUAGGGCACUGGAAACUGGCUAGCUUGAAUGCGGUAGAGGUAAAGGGAAUUCGUGGUGUAGCGGUGAAAUGCGUAGAUAUCAGGAGGAACAUCGAUGGCGUAGGCGCUUUACUGGGCCGUAAUUGACACUGAGGAACGAAAGCCGGGGUAGCAAAUGGGAUUAGAUACCCCAGUAGUC